Molecule: long non-coding RNA, 2427 nt
Filed under: Mus musculus (house mouse)
Lineage: Eukaryota; Metazoa; Chordata; Mammalia; Rodentia; Muridae
Description: long non-coding RNA chr2:74871243-74873670
Source: RNAcentral
UCAAUUUUAUGAUACAGUAUAAGAUUCAGCUUAAAUUAAUGUUUUCAUCUCAGUGAUUUUCUUAAAAGACUAUCUUUUUAUUUAUUGGCUUAUUACUGAAAAAUAGAUUCUUUAGGUUGAUAGUUUUUCUUUUCAUGUGUUUUUAUGUGUGGUGUGCAUACAUGUGAGUACACAUUUGUUUGGGUGUGCAUGUGUGUAUAGGUGUGAGCCUGUGGGAGCCUGAGAUUGCUGUCAGAAACCUUGCUCUUCUGUUUUACUCUUUGAGACAGGCUCUGUAGAAUCUCUUAUAAUCAAGCCUAGAACUUCUGAUAGGUCUCAUCUCGCUAGCUAGUUUGCUGGGAUGUUCUCUCUGCCCUCUGAGGCUGCGAUUACGGAGAACACCAUGUCCACCUGACAUUUAUGUGUGCGCUGGGGGUCAUUCUCUUAUUUGUAUAGGAUGUGCUUUUGCUGUUGAGUAAUCUCCUACUGCUAGGAUGAUUUUCUUUUUAAUUAAAAAUAUAUAUAUUUAUUUUUAUAUGUGUGCAUGUUUUGCCUGGUUUGUACCUGGUUCCUGCAGAGCCAGAAGAGAGCAUAGGAUCCCAGAAUGCUGGAGUUACAGGCAGUUACCAGCUGUGAUAUGGGUGCUGGGAACCAAACCUAGGUCCUUUGGAAGAGCAACAAGUACUCUAAACUGCUGAGCCAUCUCUCCAACUCCAGUAAUUUUUAAAAAAGCUUAUUUUGUUUUAAAUUCUGUGCAUAUGAUUGGGUAUGUGCAUUUGAGUGCAAGUGCUUGUGGAGGCCAGAACCCUGGAUACCAGGUGAUUGUGAGCUGUGACGUGGCUUCUGGGAGCCAGACACAUCUUCACAAAAGCAGUUUGGCCCCCUAGUUGAUACUUUUUAAGGAUUUUAUUUGCCCUGAUUUCUAUUCAAAAUAAACAUUCGUCUUCUGUAGCCAUACCAAACAUCUUUUAUAGUAAAAAUAAAUAUGACAGCAAUUAUAUAAUUUUUAAACAUGUCAUGCAAACUAUAUAUAUAUAUAUGUGUGUGUGUGUGUGUAUAUACACAUGUAUACAUAUAUAUGUGUGUGUAUAUAUGCAACUCAGGUAUAUAAAAUAAUCUUAUGGUAAAAAUUGGGACUUGUUAUCUCUGAAGCAGGAAGCCUAUAGAAUUUAUUAAAUCCUGGAAGCUACAGCUUCUAUAACUAUGUUGUAUUUUUACUGGUUAGUCCCCAACACAAAGAAAUAUACCCAAAUGUCAGUAAUAUGUAGUUUUUUUCUCUUGAUACUGAAUUCAUAAUAGUUUGAAAGUUGAGAAUGAGAUACAUAUUUUAUUGUUUGAAGUGUAUUAUUCUUGUUCAUCAAUGAGUUUUCUUGCACUUGCUAUUUUUUGGAGAGAGUAGGAGAAUAAUUAUUAGUUAAAGUCAUUGUCAAAGUGUUGGCAACUUGGGUUUUUUGGCAUGUGAUUUAGAGGAAAGUAAAAGAUAUUUUGUUAAUAGGUUAUAUUUAGACCUACAAAAGAUUGAAAUUUAAACAGUUGCAAAAGCAAGACAUGUGUUUGAUAAUUGGUAUAUAAAAAGUAGGUAUUUAAAAAUUCUACAUUAUGUGAUACUUAGCCAGAUGUUUUUUAUUAACCAAUAAUUAGGACUAGCCAGAUGUUUUUUAUUAACCAAUAAUUAGGAGUGAGGACUAUAUUUAAUUUUUAUUUGUACCUAAUCCUUUUAUUUAGGUUUUGGAGAUAAGGCUACUACUGUGCAGCUCUAGAACCUGCUUUGUAGCCCAGGCUGACCUCAGACUCAUGCUUGUUCUCGCUUAGCCCACCAUGCGCAUCCCAUGCCUGACUGCCCAUCAUUUGAUCAAUAUUAGAUGAAAGGAAACUACAUUUAGGAAAAGGGAACUUGUAAUUUUAUUUUGUUAUGGUAAAACUUUUUCUCAUUUCUUUAUCUGUGGUGGGAGUCAUUUCUUUGUGAGACACAGUAUCGUAAGUAGGAAGACAUUCACUUGAGAAAAAUAAAUUAGAUUCUAAAUUGGAGGCCUUGAAAUCUAUCUACCCUUGGCUCUCACAUAUACUGAAUGGUGACAGAUUCUUUUUCUUUGUACCCUACUUUUACUUUCUAAUUUUGACUUACCUACUGAAGAUGUUGAGAAAAGUCUUGUAAACGAAACCAAAUUAUUUUUGCUUGUUUUUAAGAGAAGAAAAAGAAGUUGAGAUCUUGCAGCAAGAACAGAAAUUGAGAAAGAAGACAGCAAGUACUUUGAUUUUACAAGCCUUAGUGACAAGUUUGAAGCUCACUGUUUUUGCAUGUGUGGUAUUAUUUCUAGGAAUAUGAAGAGAUGGCAAAAUAAAUAACAUUUGAAAAAACAUUAGGAGACACCUAGACAAAAUUAAUAGUGUUGGAAUAGUUUUAGAUGAUACUAUAAAGGAUAUCAGAGAAAAAAACAAAAUAAUAAU